UACGGGGGGAGCAAGCGUUGUUCGGAUUUACUGGGCGUAAAGGGCGCGUAGGCGGUCGUGACAAGUCACUUGUGAAAUCUCCGGGCUUAACUCGGAACGGUCAAGUGAUACUGUCGGACUAGAGUACAGAAGGGGCAACUGGAAUUCUCGGUGUAGCGGUGAAAUGUGUAGAUAUCGAGAGGAACACCUGCGGCGAAGGCGGGUUGCUGGGCUGAUACUGACGCUGAGGCGCGAAAGCCAGGGGAGCGAACGGG
RNAcentral lists this ribosomal RNA (254 nucleotides) under uncultured bacterium. RNAcentral describes it as "partial 16S ribosomal RNA". It matches the Rfam family "Bacterial small subunit ribosomal RNA", at positions 524 to 776 of the family's 1533-position model. The record is from RNAcentral.